This 61-nucleotide transfer RNA is filed under the name Ictidomys tridecemlineatus (thirteen-lined ground squirrel). Its description in RNAcentral is "Spermophilus tridecemlineatus (thirteen-lined ground squirrel) tRNA". It matches the Rfam family "tRNA", at positions 6 to 65 of the family's 71-position model. From Rfam's summary of the family: Transfer RNA (tRNA) molecules are approximately 80 nucleotides in length. Their secondary structure includes four short double-helical elements and three loops (D, anti-codon, and T loops). The record is from Rfam by way of RNAcentral. Lineage: Eukaryota; Metazoa; Chordata; Mammalia; Rodentia; Sciuridae. RNAcentral also lists the same sequence under 1 other name.
UGUAGCUCAGUGAUAGAGCGUCUGCCUACUAUGUGGAAAACCCUGGGUUUAAUCCCCAGCA